Molecule: long non-coding RNA, 2020 nt
Organism: Pecten maximus
Lineage: Eukaryota; Metazoa; Mollusca; Bivalvia; Pectinida; Pectinidae
Exons: 2
Source: RefSeq, a predicted model, not a curated record
UCGUGUCUUUUGUAACUUUUAAAAAAUAACUUACUCGUGUGAAAUAAAUUCCAUAUCCAACAACCACUCGUUGUGUAACCUCUUUUUAUAUAUACUGUAUCCCCCUUGUGUAGAACAGUACAUAGGUAUCUUGUGCUAUUAUUGGAAUACAUAUCAGUAUCAGUUUACAUAUUAACGAUUAUAUAUUAAAUAAUUAAAUUUAAGUUUACUUGAACCUUUAAUGAUCGAGAUACAAUUUCAUAAGUGAAAUUUACAAAGGAUUUCUCAUAUUAAGUGUCAAAAAUUGCACAAAUGUGCGGAAAAUAAAUUUAACUUUAUGCAAGAAUGCAUUAUAUACAUUUAUAGAGUCCACAGCUGUGAUGGAUGGGUGGAUUGUGCAAAGUCUGCGAAAGUUGUACUGUAUGUAGAUCUAUAGUCAUGUCGUGAGAAAGAAAUGUGUUUUUCUACACCUGAAUAUCAAAUCAUCACCAUUCUAAAUUCUUGUUAAAAUAUAAUAUAUAAGGGACACAUUUUCUGCCAUGUAAUACACAAAAAUAUUAAUACAUGUUUGACAGUUAAAUAAAGUUAACUUUUAAAAUCAGUAUAUUACAUGUAUAUAUAUACAUAUAGAUAUAUAUUCAUUAUAUUAACUAUGACAGUAAAUUCAAAUCUUUACCUUUGGAUCAACAACACAUAGUGUAUGAUACAUUGUGCUAAUAAUUAGAUAUAACAUAUAUUAGUAACACAAAUACCGGAGGAAGACUACCCUAGCUCAUGCCCAACCGGGCCUCAAACUCAUGAUCUAUGGCACCCAUUAUCGCGUUAGCCAGAAAGACCUGCAGCCUAUACCACUGCUUUAAAUGAAUAAAUAUCAUCAUGAUCAUAUACACAUGUACCUUAAUUUUGAUUACAAUUUACAUGAAAUUAUUUAAAUCUUGAUUGGUAGUUGAUGUUUUUCUGUAUGUUUGAAAUUUCAGAAUUGAAAGAUUAGACCUAGCUAACGCUUCUUGUGCUCUUCCCAUAUAAUCCUGAAUAGUUUGAAAAACAAUUAUAACGUAAGAAUUGCAGUGUAACCUUAUUAUUAAGGAAAGGUUUUACUGUUAUUUGUUGUUUUUUCCCAUACAAAUGCCAAGUACAAGCUAGUGUUCAGUACAGUGCCAAGUACAUGUAUAUCUGCAUGCCCCUCGGAGAGGAAACAUGUAUAUCUGCAUGCCCCUCGGAGAGGAAACAUGUAGAUCUGCAUGCACCUUGGAGAGGAAACAUGUAUAUCCACUUUGCUUAACUAUAAAGUCAAGUAAUUGUUACCUCACAGAUAUUAUAGCUGCAAUUAUACUACCAUGUAAACUUUAUUUAUUUUAACAAUUGUAAAAACAAGUUACAUGUAUAUCAACUUAUAUUAAUCGCACUUGUCGGCCCGGAUUUAAGCAUUUGAGGGGUCUUACUAGCUGUGGGAAGAAGCAGAAGAACCCAGAUAAAACACACGAUCGGGCAGGUGCAUGACCCUACAUGUACAACUUUCACGUCUGAUCAAGGAAUCAAAUCCUUGCCGCCUAAGUGAAAGGUUUGGUUUGGUUUGUUUUUUUUUAUUAAAAAUAUACCAUGCCCCUUUAAGCUGGUUCUAGAGACAUGGAAAUAAAAACAAAACUUUUAUAUAACGUUCUAAACUAUGAUAAGUGCACUCUUCUGAUUUUCUUACCAUAAGCAAAAGUGCAGUGCUUAUUAUAUUAGUUCAGGGCUUAUUUGAGCUUAUUUGUCACACAUAAGAUUUUUUCAUGAUUGCAGUAACAUCAAAUCUUAUUAAAAUAGAAUGGUAACUUUCAAAAGAUAUUGUAUCCUUCCACAAGCACUUCGUUUUAUUUCACCUAUCAUAUAUAGGUAUAUGUAUGAUGUUCAUAUUCAAUAUGAAUAAUUAUUGAUAAUUAAGUAUAUAAGCUUGCACAUUUUAUAUAUAUUAUAACAAAGAUGAGCAGAACUGGUUCUAAGCAUACGUGGUAUAUUAUAUUAUCCUGUGCACAUAUCAAAUAAAAGAAAAUGAAUCCCA